CACGUAGGGCGCAAGCGUUGUCCGGAAUUAUUGGGCGUAAAGAGCUCGUAGGCGGUCUGUUGCGUCCGCUGUGAAAACUCGGGGCUUAACCCCGAGCCUGCAGUGGAUACGGGCAGACUAGAGGUAGGUAGGGGAGAAUGGAAUUCCCGGUGUAGCGGUGAAAUGCGUAGAGAUCCGGAGGAACCCCAGAGGCGAAGGCGGCGUCCUGGCUCGCAUCUGACGCUCAGACACGACAGCAUGGGGAGCGAACGGG
This 253-nucleotide ribosomal RNA is filed under the name uncultured bacterium. RNAcentral's name for it is "partial 16S ribosomal RNA". It matches the Rfam family "Bacterial small subunit ribosomal RNA", at positions 524 to 776 of the family's 1533-position model. The record is from RNAcentral.